ACGGAAGGCAGCAGUGGGGAAUAUUGCACAAUGGGGGAAACCCUGAUGCAGCGACGCCGCGUGAGUGAAGAAGUUAUUCGUAAUGUAAAGCUCUAUCAGCAGGGAAGAAAAUGACGGUACCUGACUAAGAAGCCCCGGCUAACUACGUGCCAGCAGCCGCGGUAAUACGUAGGGGGCAAGCGUUAUCCGGAUUUACUGGGUGUAAAGGGAGCGUAGACGGUCUAGCAAGUCUGAUGUGAAAGGCAGGGGCUCAACUCCUGGACUGCAUUGGAAACUGUUAGUCUUGAGUGUCGGAGAGGUAAGCGGAAUUCCUAGUGUAGCGGUGAAAUACGUAGAUAUUAGGAGGAACACCAGUGGCGAAGGCGGCUUACUGGACGAUAACUGACGUUGAGGCUCGAAAGCGUGGGGAGCAAACAGGAUUAGAUACCCUGGUA
RNAcentral lists this ribosomal RNA (434 nucleotides) under uncultured Lachnospiraceae bacterium. RNAcentral describes it as "partial 16S ribosomal RNA". It matches the Rfam family "Bacterial small subunit ribosomal RNA", at positions 341 to 792 of the family's 1533-position model. Lineage: Bacteria; Bacillati; Bacillota; Clostridia; Lachnospirales; Lachnospiraceae. The record is from RNAcentral.